RNAcentral lists this long non-coding RNA (1542 nucleotides) under Gouania willdenowi (blunt-snouted clingfish). RNAcentral's name for it is "lncRNA (ENSGWIG00000007362.1)". Lineage: Eukaryota; Metazoa; Chordata; Actinopteri; Blenniiformes; Gobiesocidae. The record is from RNAcentral.
AUGGAGAGAAAAGUUGAAACAAAACCACCAAUCCAUGAAGAUGUCUUUGUGGUUGACCUCAUGAAUGCAGGAAACUUCUGUUUCAGCUGUGACCAAAUAUUUCAAAGUCGUAAAUGUUUGGAGGAACACUCGUGCACAUCGGUGAGUUUCAUCUGCUCCUGCGGGACUGAGUUCAGAGAAUACGAUGACAUGCAGCAGCACAACACCACACAUGAGCCAGGGCACCAGGUGCUGGAUCACGAGACCAUUAGGAAGCGCAGGAUGGAAAAUCGCAAAAAGGAGGAGGAGAAAAUUAAAAGAUUGCAGAAAGGUGAGGUUGUCUGGAACACUUCGACAAUGGAAGGUGGCUCUUCUUCUACACUGCCCAUGAAAUCUCUGGUGCAAGUACGUAACACUGCAGCUUCUGAUUGGUUCCCUUCAAAGUCACCAACAUGUUUGCCUCCAAGUGUGGUCCCAGCUAUGACAGACAUGCCAAAUAUUUUCCCAGGUGCAGGACCCGGUGCACCCACCGUGGACCUUUGGACACUCUAUCAGCCAGUUGUAUUGUUGAACAUGGAUAGCAAGAUUAACAAGAAAAUGCCCUACACAUGUGGUAGAUGUGGACAGUCUUUCAUGAAAAAGACCGAACUCAUCUCCCACCACAGCGUACACGUCACAGAUAAAGUUUCUGGCUGUAUAGGCUGUGGAAUGCUGCUGUCCAGCAAGAAGAUGGUGCCUCGCUUCCAUGCUUGUAACUCGUCCAACAAUACAACCAAGUUCAAAGUCAUCACCGCUAGGCCUCUGAACUAUAAGGCGCCUAGUGGGGCUAGCACAGACAUGAGAGCGAAUGCAGGUGCCCAGAUGCUUCCGAAAACGUCCUUUUUACACGCUAGAAAACCCAGAGCAGGCGUUAGAGGUGGUCGUAGGCCUGUCGCUUCUACUCUGCAGCAGAACAACAAAAACAACACUGGGUAUGAAGUGACUCCAACGUUGUUGUUUAAAAAUAGGAACAUCGGCGCAUCCAAACCGUUUGUGGCCAGCCCCUUUCAUGGUAAAACUAAGAGUCUACAUUCCACUGCCCUCAACCAUAUAAAUUUAGGUCGCACUGCUGCUCCUUCUGUGCAUAUAAAGCUCCCCACACACUCUCAGUCAGGUGUGGCAGGAAAAUCCUCCCUGAUGUCUUCCAGUUCCUCUCAAGGUGCAUUCACGUGCAGAGUCUGUCAUUUUCCAUUCGAGUCUGCUCUGCUGCUUCAGAGGCACAAGUGUAGCAAAGCAAAGGAGUUCAUGGCACACCAUGUGAGAUUCAGCAACCAGCCAUUCCAAGCCAACAGAGUUCCACCUGUGGCAUCCUCAAGUUUCAAUCAAAUGAAUGGUCAGAGAAAGCCUGCUCCAGUGACAAAACAAGUCACAGCUGUGAGCCGCGACAAGAGACAAGGGGGUGUUCCUGUGAAUGGGAAAACAGAUUUGGAAAGUGAUGACGAUUGUUACAUUGUUGAAAGCCAACCGGAUAAUCCCGCUGAGAUGAUUUACCAAAUAACCUCAUCCGUUCCCAUCAAGACUUGA